GAUAUCCGAGCUCCUAACCAGAAAGAGAGGUAAAAUUAUCUAAAAUGAAGCCGCGCAGUUAUAAAGGCUAAGGAUUUACCUCCUCACCACUCAUGUAAUAAAUACUGAGGAGGUAAAGGGGCAACUCAAGGAAAAACCUAAGAGCACGAGCAUAUAAAACCUCAGUUUCAGUCCCCGCUCAUCACCUCAAAAGAGCUCACGGGUACAGUUAGUCCAGCUCGAAAAGGGCUUACGGAUAAGAAUUUCAGUUAGUGAAAUAGAUAAAUCCACAGGUCAAAAGUUCAGUCAAACGACAGAAUUUCAGUCCUGACGGGUCUGAAGGCAAAAAGGAAAGACAUCACAGUGGAUCCCUCAGAGAAAAUUACGAAGCACGCAGUUUAAGUAUUUCAUUUAUAAGCAGAGAUAAGUUCAAGAGUGAACGAAAAACAAGAAGUAGUUCAAGUGGAGGCAAUUAAAAUUUCAUUAAAGAAAAAAUGUAGUACAAUCUAUUUAUCUGCUAAGGUUGAAGGAAAAAUAGUCCUUAAGGGACUUACAUUUCUAGGAACAUCGUCA
RNAcentral lists this long non-coding RNA (552 nucleotides) under Manihot esculenta (cassava). Its description in RNAcentral is "long non-coding RNA (MESC_LNC001222)". Lineage: Eukaryota; Viridiplantae; Streptophyta; Magnoliopsida; Malpighiales; Euphorbiaceae. The record is from RNAcentral.